RNAcentral lists this ribosomal RNA (375 nucleotides) under uncultured Deferribacteres bacterium. RNAcentral describes it as "bacterial SSU rRNA". It matches the Rfam family "Bacterial small subunit ribosomal RNA", at positions 521 to 896 of the family's 1533-position model. Lineage: Bacteria; Pseudomonadati; Deferribacterota; Deferribacteres. The record is from RNAcentral.
UAAUACGGGGGGAGCGAGCGUUGUCCGGAAUCAUUGGGCGUAAAGGGCGCGUAGGCGGAAAGGUCAGUCAGAUGUGAAAGGCCCCGGCUUAACCGGGGAGUUGCAUUUGAAACUGUUUUUCUUGAGUGUCGUAGGGGAUGAUGGAAUUCCUGGUGUAGCGGUGAAAUGCGUAGAGAUCAGGAAGAACACCGGUGGCGAAGGCGGUCAUCUGGGCGAACACUGACACUGAGGCGCGAAAGCGUGGGUAGCAAACAGGAUUAGAUACCCUGGUAGUCCACGCCGUAAACGGUGGGCACUAGACGUUGGUUCCGUACGGGAUCAGUGUCGCAGCAAACGCAUUAAGUGCCCCGCCUGGGGAGUACGAUCGCAAGGUUG